UUCGGGCCUCUUGCCAUCAGAUGUGCCCAGAUGGGAUUAGCUUGUUGGUGAGGUAACGGCUCACCAAGGCGACGAUCCCUAGCUGGUCUGAGAGGAUGACCAGCCACACUGGAACUGAGACACGGUCCAGACUCCUACGGGAGGCAGCAGUGGGGAAUAUUGCACAAUGGGCGCAAGCCUGAUGCAGCCAUGCCGCGUGUAUGAAGAAGGCCUUCGGGUUGUAAAGUACUUUCAGCGGGGAGGAAGGUGUUGUGGUUAAUAACCGCAGCAAUUGACGUUACCCGCAGAAGAAGCACCGGCUAACUCCGUGCCAGCAGCCGCGGUAAUACGGAGGGUGCAAGCGUUAAUCGGAAUUACUGGGCGUAAAGCGCACGCAGGCGGUCUGUCAAGUCGGAUGUGAAAUCCCCGGGCUCAACCUG
RNAcentral lists this ribosomal RNA (419 nucleotides) under Salmonella enterica. Its description in RNAcentral is "bacterial SSU rRNA". It matches the Rfam family "Bacterial small subunit ribosomal RNA", at positions 202 to 616 of the family's 1533-position model. Lineage: Bacteria; Pseudomonadati; Pseudomonadota; Gammaproteobacteria; Enterobacterales; Enterobacteriaceae. The record is from RNAcentral.